Molecule: long non-coding RNA, 176 nt
Organism: Syngnathus acus (greater pipefish)
Lineage: Eukaryota; Metazoa; Chordata; Actinopteri; Syngnathiformes; Syngnathidae
Exons: 2
Source: RefSeq, a predicted model, not a curated record
UGGUACGCCCAAAGGUCCGACGCGAUUGGUCAGACACUUUGCUAUAAAAACCCACUCGAGCGUUGCCUCUCCCUCUUUCUUUCACACGACGCUCAUAGCUCCCGCCCCACAUUAAAGGAUAUGUGGGUUUUGUCUUCACCAAGAAAGACCUGGCUCUUGGACUGGGUUCUCCUAAA